GGACGAACGCUGGCGGCGUGGAUUAGGCAUGCAAGUCGAACGGUAUAAACCUUUCGGGGUUUAGAGAGUGGCGAACGGGUGAGUAACACGUAGGUAAUCUACCCUCAAAACGGGGACAACCCAGGGAAACUUGGGCUAAUACCGGAUGCGUGCAAACAAUGUUUUGGUUGUUGUAAUUAUUCACGGAAGUGAAUAGUUAUGAGAGUUCAGAGCAUAAUUUGCAUAAAAGGUGGCGUAAGCUGCCGUUUGAGGAUGAGCCUGCGUCCUAUUAGUUAGUUGGUGAGGUAAUGGCUUACCAAGGCGAUGAUAGGUAGGCGGCCUUAACGGGUGGUCGCCCACACUGGGAUUGAGAUACGGCCCAGACUCCUACGGGAGGCAGCAGUCGAGAGUAGUCUACAAUGGACGAAAGUCUGAUAGUGCGACGCCGCGUGAACGAAGAAUCCUUUCGGGGUGUAAAGUUCUUUUCUAUGUGAGCAGUUCCUUUUAUAUGAAGAGUAUAGGAGGCGGGAUUUAAGCAUAGGAAUAAGCAACGGCUAACUCCGUGCCAGCAGCCGCGGUAACACGGGGGUUGCAAGCGUUGUCCGGAAUUACUAGGCGUAAAGUGCAGGUAGGCGGAUAGAUAAGUUUAAGGUUAAAGGCUACGGCUUANNCGUAGUAAGGCGUUAGAUACUGUUUAUCUGGAAUGCGGUUGAGGGAGACAGAAUUCCUGGUGUAGCGGUGGAAUGCGCAGAGAUCAGGAGGAAUACCGAAGGCGAAGGCAGUCUUCUAAGCCGAAAUUGACGCUAAACUGCGAAGGUGUGGGGAUCAAACAGGAUUAGAUACCCUGGUAGUCCACACAGUAAACGAUAAUCACUAGGUGUUGGGUUCGUAUAGGACUCGGUGCCGGAGCUAACGCGAUAAGUGAUUCGCCUGGGGAGUACGAUCGCAAGGUUGAAACUCAAAGGAAUUGACGGGUCCCCGCACAAGCAGCGGAGCGUGUGGUUUAAUUCGAUGCUCCGCGAAAAACCUUACCUGGGUUUGACAUAACAGUGGUAGAGAAGUGAAAACGGACCGACCCCUCGGGGAGCUGUUACAGGUGUUGCAUGGCUGUCGUCAGCUCGUGUCGUGAGAUGUUCGGUUAAGUCCGCUAACGAGCGCAACCCGCGCUGUGUGUUACAAGUGUCACACAGUACCGCCGGUAUUAAGUCGGAGGAAGGUGCGGAUGACGUCAAGUCAGCAUGACCUUUAUAUCCAGGGCUACACACACGCUACAAUGGUCAGAACAAUAGGUUGCCAAGCCGCAAGGCGGAGCCAAUCCUCCAAAUCUGGCCUCAGUUCAGAUUGCAGGCUGCAACUCGCCUGCAUGAAGUCGGAGUUGCUAGUAACCGCAGGUCAGCAUACUGCGGUGAAUACGUUCCCGGGGAU
RNAcentral lists this ribosomal RNA (1404 nucleotides) under uncultured bacterium. RNAcentral's name for it is "bacterial SSU rRNA". It matches the Rfam family "Bacterial small subunit ribosomal RNA", at positions 27 to 1381 of the family's 1533-position model. The record is from RNAcentral.